GACAUAGUCGAUUGGGUUGCGCAAUGUCCGACUUGCCAGAAACAGGGAAAGAAAUUACAUGUGGAUAACAACUUGAGAAGCAUAAAGGCUGUUCGUGUCUGGGAAUUGUUGGGAAUGGAUCUAAUGGGACCAUUACCAGAAACAAAGAAUGGAUACCGGUAUAUAAUGACAGUCAUAGAUUAUGUUUCAAAAUUUCUGUUUGCGUUUCCACUUCGAAGUAAGUCAGCAGUUGAGGUUGCCAAGAAAAUGUACGUCAUGAUUUGUAUGCGUGGAUUCCCACAGCGCAUACUGACCGAUCGUGGUCCUGAAUUCUGUAAUAAGAGCAUUACAGGAGAUGGUUGAUGACAACGGUACAAAUUGGGAUGAAAUAAUUCAUCCAAUUUUUGUUUUCGAUGCGAACAAAAGAACACUCAAGAACAAAACUUACCCCCUUUUGACUAAUGUAUGCAGAAGACCCCAUAUUUCCAUAAGAAGUCUCAAAAUUACACGAUCCCAGAUUUAAAUACACUUCAUGAAGAAUUCUACAAACAGUAUGACAUAGAAAAGACAUUGCGACAUGAGGCUGACGUUACUUAAAGCCAUUUCAAUAUCUCUAAAGCACAAGAAAGGCAACAGAGACAUUAUGCAAAAAGGCACAGCUCAAAAUACGGUGAAGUAAGCUUUGAUGUUGGGAACUCUGUCCUUUUAUUGAAUGCUAGGAAGAGAACAAGAAAAGGCGGAGUACUAGAACCUACAUAUCGUGGACCAUACAAAAUUACAAGUAUUGAGGGGAAGACAGUAAAAUUAGAAACCAUGUCAGGAAAAAUGUUAGCAACCAAGUACAGCAUUGCAUGUUUAAAGAGCCACCACAAUUUGCUCCCAAGAGCACAACAGAGGAAAGAAUUGUAACUGAAAUCACAGUGAGUAACAAUGGGACCACAAAUACAUGUGAAAAGAUUCAAAAAUUGGAUGGGCCUGAAUCACAUAUCAGGUUCAAUCAUUGAACGAUAUAAAAAAGACAUCAUCGGAAGAAGAGGAGAUAGUGGAGGAAUAUGAUUUUGGUGACAUGAUGAUGGAGGAUGUGGAAGACAAAGAAUGGUUUCUGAAAGUAAAAUUUGCAAUGAAUGGAAAACAAAGAGACUGGAGGCCAAAGUGAGAAAUUACAAAUUGUAUGGCACUUCAUUUCAUUGCCUGAAACCAAGAAACUGGAUAUGUGAUGAGGUUAUUGAUGCGUAUUUCAGCUGUCUAGUCGAGAAAUCGGGGGGAAAGGUAGGCCACU
Molecule: non-coding RNA, 1258 nt
Organism: Pelodiscus sinensis (Chinese soft-shelled turtle)
Lineage: Eukaryota; Metazoa; Chordata; Testudines; Trionychidae
Source: RefSeq, a predicted model, not a curated record